This 426-nucleotide ribosomal RNA is filed under the name Bacillus aerophilus. RNAcentral's name for it is "bacterial SSU rRNA". It matches the Rfam family "Bacterial small subunit ribosomal RNA", at positions 389 to 807 of the family's 1533-position model. Lineage: Bacteria; Bacillati; Bacillota; Bacilli; Caryophanales; Bacillaceae. The record is from RNAcentral.
UAGCCACCGCGCGCGUGAGUGAUGAAGGUUUUCGGAUCGUAAAGCUCUGUUGUUAGGGAAGAACAAGUGCAAGAGUAACUGCUUGCACCUUGACGGUACCUAACCAGAAAGCCACGGCUAACUACGUGCCAGCAGCCGCGGUAAUACGUAGGUGGCAAGCGUUGUCCGGAAUUAUUGGGCGUAAAGGGCUCGCAGGCGGUUUCUUAAGUCUGAUGUGAAAGCCCCCGGCUCAACCGGGGAGGGUCAUUGGAAACUGGGAAACUUGAGUGCAGAAGAGGAGAGUGGAAUUCCACGUGUAGCGGUGAAAUGCGUAGAGAUGUGGAGGAACACCAGUGGCGAAGGCGACUCUCUGGUCUGUAACUGACGCUGAGGAGCGAAAGCGUGGGGAGCGAACAGGAUUAGAUACCCUGGUAGUCCACAACAAGG